RNAcentral lists this ribosomal RNA (433 nucleotides) under uncultured bacterium. Its description in RNAcentral is "partial 16S ribosomal RNA". It matches the Rfam family "Bacterial small subunit ribosomal RNA", at positions 29 to 506 of the family's 1533-position model. The record is from RNAcentral.
AGCGAACGCUGGCGGCAGGCCUAACACAUGCAAGUCGAACGAACCUUUCGGGGUUAGUGGCGGACGGGUGAGUAACACGUGGGAACGUGCCUUUAGGUUCGGAAUAACUCAGGGAAACUUGUGCUAAUACCGAAUGUGCCCUUCGGGGGAAAGAUUAAUCGCCUUUAGAGCGGCCCGCGUCUGAUUAGCUAGUUGGUUGAGGUAAUGGCUCACCAAGGCGACGAUCAGUAGCUGGUCUGAGAGGAUGAUCAGCCACAUUGGGACUGAGACACGGCCCAAACUCCUACGGGAGGCAGCAGUGGGGAAUCUUGCGCAAUGGGCGAAAGCCUGACGCAGCCAUGCCGCGUGAAUGAUGAAGGUCUUAGGAUUGUAAAAUUCUUUCACCGGGGACGAUAAGGACGGUACCCGGAGAAGAAGCCCCGGCGAACUUCGU